GACGAACGCUGGCGGCGUGCUUAACACAUGCAAGUCGAACGGAAAGGCCUGCUUUCCCUUGUGGAUUGCGGGUACUCGAGUGGCGAACGGGUGAGUAACACGUGAGUGAUCUGCCCCCAACUUGGGUAUAAGCCUGGGAAACUGGGUCUAAUUCCCGAUAGGACUGCAGGGUGGUGCCUCUGGUGGAAAACGAUUUUCUAGUGGUUGGGGAUGAGCUCGCGGCCUAUCAGCUUGUUGGUGGGGUAAUGGCCUACCAAGGCGGCGACGGGUAGCCGGCCUGAGAGGGUGGACGGCCACAUUGGGACUGAGAUACGGCCCAGACUCCUACGGGAGGCAGCAGUGGGGAAUAUUGCACAAUGGGCGGAAGCCUGAUGCAGCGACGCCGCGUGGGGGAUGACGGCCUUCGGGUUGUAAACUCCUUUCGACCGCGAGGAAGCCACCUGGUUGGAAGGGUGGUGACGGUAGUGGUAGAAGAAGCACCGGCUAACUACGUG
Molecule: ribosomal RNA, 494 nt
Filed under: uncultured bacterium
Lineage: Bacteria
Description: partial 16S ribosomal RNA
Rfam family: Bacterial small subunit ribosomal RNA
Source: RNAcentral